Molecule: ribosomal RNA, 315 nt
Filed under: uncultured Agaricomycetes
Lineage: Eukaryota; Fungi; Basidiomycota; Agaricomycetes
Description: partial large subunit ribosomal RNA
Rfam family: Eukaryotic large subunit ribosomal RNA
Source: RNAcentral
AUAUCAAUAAGCGGAGGAAAAGAGACUAACAAGGAUUCCCCUAGUAACGGCGAGUGAAGAGGGAAAAGCUCAAAUUUUGAAUCUGACGUCUUCGGCGUCCGAGUUGUAAUCUAGAGAAGUGUUUUCCGCGCCGGACCGUGCACAAGUUCCCUGGAACGGGGCGUCAAAGAGGGUGAGAAUCCCGUCUGUGGCACGGACCCCAGGGCUUCUGUGAUGCGCUCUCAAAGAGUCGAGUUGUUUGGGAAUGCAGCUCAAAAUGGGUGGUGAACUCCAUCUAAAGCUAAAUAUUGGCGAGAGACCGAUAGCGCACAAGUA